RNAcentral lists this transfer RNA (55 nucleotides) under Diaphorina citri (Asian citrus psyllid). The record is from Rfam by way of RNAcentral. Lineage: Eukaryota; Metazoa; Arthropoda; Insecta; Hemiptera; Psyllidae.
GGUCAGAGGGAUGACGUUGGACUUGAAAUCCAGGGGGCUUGGGUUCGAGUCCCAG